GAUGAACGCUGGCGGCGUGCUUAACACAUGCAAGUCGAACGGGAAACCUUUUAUUGAAGCUUCGGCAGAUUUAGCUGGUUUCUAGUGGCGGACGGGUGAGUAACGCGUGGGUAACCUGCCUUAUACAGGGGGAUAACAACCAGAAAUGGUUGCUAAUACCGCAUAAGCGCACAGGACCGCAUGGUCCGGUGUGAAAAACUCCGGUGGUAUAAGAUGGACCCGCGUUGGAUUAGCUAGUUGGCAGGGUAACGGCCUACCAAGGCGACGAUCCAUAGCCGGCCUGAGAGGGUGAACGGCCACAUUGGGACUGAGGCACGGCCCAGAACCCUACGGGAGGCAGCAGUGGGGAAUAUUGCACAAUGGGGGAAACCCUGAUGCAGCGACGCCGCGUGAAGGAAGAAGUAUCUCGGUAUGUAAACUUCUAUCAGCAGGGAAGAUAGUGACGGUACCUGACUAAGAAGCCCCGGCUAACUACGUG
This 478-nucleotide ribosomal RNA is filed under the name uncultured bacterium. RNAcentral describes it as "partial 16S ribosomal RNA". It matches the Rfam family "Bacterial small subunit ribosomal RNA", at positions 28 to 507 of the family's 1533-position model. The record is from RNAcentral.